GCAGAUGUAGCCAAGUGGUCGACGGCGCCGGACUUGAGAUCCGGUGAGCAUUCGCUCUCGUGGGUUCGACUCCCCCCAUCUGCGCCA
Molecule: transfer RNA, 87 nt
Filed under: Promethearchaeota archaeon
Lineage: Archaea; Promethearchaeati; Promethearchaeota
Description: Candidatus Lokiarchaeota archaeon (microbial mat metagenome) tRNA-Ser
Rfam family: tRNA
About the family: Transfer RNA (tRNA) molecules are approximately 80 nucleotides in length.
Source: RNAcentral